AAAGUUAGAAAAUAAGAUUCAUGUGAGUUACGCUGUAAUCAAAUUUCAUGGCCCGCAGUCUUUAGACUGUUAUUGGCAAGCAUCUUUGUGAGAGAGAGACCAGAACAACUUGGAGCUUAAAUGACCUUUGCACAUAGCUCAAACUGUCUUGGAUUCAGUGAGCUACCAUCUUGCAUAACUUGUACUUUUAACUGAGAUACAGGGAUACAUUUUGUCUUGCUGCUCCGAGUAUGCUGUUGGUGCCUUAGCUAGCAAAGAUUCUGUGGGGAAAAAUGUCUUAAGUAGACAUGAAAUUCCCACUGCCUUUCUCAAACUAUUUCAAUAGGGUAGCAUAAUGCUUAUUUUUCACAUGUACAAGGUAAGAACACGAGGGUCAUAGAGUAAGUGAUUUGUCCAGUAUCAUCCAUGGUGGCAUAACUUUGUGAAUCCCUACUUUUCGAGUUGUAGACAGACCCCCCAGUAACGGAAUAGCUUUCUCCUUUGCUGCUGCUUUUCACUACCAACAGCAACACAACUGCUGCAUUUGGCCACGCUAAGGUUAUACUGUAAAGCAAGAGGAUAACUGCUCCCUUUAAUGCUUGUAACAAGUACUUUUAAUUCUGUAAACCUAGUCAAGUUAGGCCCAAUUGACAAGAUGCCAGAGACAGCUCUGGGAAUCAGAAAUCUGUCUGUGGGAGGAGGAGGUCCCUCUUCUGAAUGGGGAAAACUGGGAAUGGUCGUUGAACUGUGGAACGAGAUGUUUCCCCUCAUCUCGCCUUCCACAAUACUUGUGUUACCAUUAUUCGUGGUGUAUGCCAGUUGCUCAGUUCUGUCGUUUGACCUCUCUAUGUCUACUAGGUUGUAUCUUGGCCCUGUGGACUCUGUUCACUAUGCUGUGACUGAAUUCUGUUACUUGUGUUAUUGCACAUUGUUGUGUGUAGGCAAGAAAGUACUUGGUCAUUAAAUGUUUAAUCAUCUGAGUAAAAAACAUUCUGGAAUGGUGUUGCCCACAGUAACAAAUGAAGAACUAGUU
Molecule: long non-coding RNA, 1012 nt
Organism: Gallus gallus (chicken)
Lineage: Eukaryota; Metazoa; Chordata; Aves; Galliformes; Phasianidae
Source: Ensembl